GGGAAAAGUUGGAAAUUUCGGAAUUUCGUCAGAUUCGUCGUCAAUCUUUCGAAGGCGAUUUCUCGGUAUGUUUAGAUGCUGACGUGCAUUUUUGGGGAUGGAUCUGGGUAGUUGCACACACUACCUCCUCACAAUGUCGAUAGCUCACCCGGUGCUUAGAGGUUGUGCUUUUGAUGGUUUGUCGUUUGCUUGGUUCAUGUUGUGGUAUGACGCUGGUAGUGUCAUGACGGUUUCUUUAUAUAUGUUGGUUAUAUCA
Phragmites australis (common reed) is the source of this 256-nucleotide long non-coding RNA. RefSeq lists it as uncharacterized. The record is from RefSeq and is a predicted model, not a curated record. Lineage: Eukaryota; Viridiplantae; Streptophyta; Magnoliopsida; Poales; Poaceae. The transcript is spliced from 2 exons.